UGGGAUACCGCCCUGACUGUAUUGAAAUUCUAACCUACGGGUCUUAUCGACCCGGGAGACAGUGUCAGGUGGGCAGUUUGACUGGGGCGGUCGCCUCCUAAAGUGUAACGGAGGCGCCCAAAGGUUCCCUCAGAAUGGUUGGAAAUCAUUCGUAGAGUGCAAAGGCAUAAGGGAGCUUGACUGCGAGACCUACAAGUCGAGCAGGGACGAAAGUCGGGCUUAGUGAUCCGGUGGUUCCGCAUGGAAGGGCCAUCGCUCAACGGAUAAAAGCUACCCCGGGGAUAACAGGCUUAUCUCCCCCAAGAGUCCACAUCGACGGGGAGGUUUGGCACCUCGAUGUCGGCUCAUCGCAUCCUGGGGCUGUAGUCGGUCCCAAGGGUUGGGCUGUUCGCCCAUUAAAGCGGUACGCGAGCUGGGUUCAGAACGUCGUGAGACAGUUCGGUCCCUAUCCGUCGUGGGCGUAGGAAAUUUGAGAGGAGCUGUCCUUAGUACGAGAGGACCGGGAUGGACGCACCGCUGGUGUACCAGUUGUUCUGCCAAGGGCAUAGCUGGGUAGCUAUGUGCGGAAGGGAUAAGUGCUGAAAGCAUCUAAGCAUGAAGCCCCCCUCAAGAUGAGAUUUCCCAUAGCGUAAGCUAGUAAGAUCCCUGAAAGAUGAUCAGGUUGAUAGGUUCGAGGUGGAAGCAUGGUGACAUGUGGAGCUGACGAAUACUAAUAGAUCGAGGACU
This 726-nucleotide ribosomal RNA is filed under the name Salmonella enterica subsp. enterica serovar Typhimurium. RNAcentral's name for it is "partial 23S ribosomal RNA". It matches the Rfam family "Bacterial large subunit ribosomal RNA", at positions 2193 to 2925 of the family's 2925-position model. The record is from RNAcentral. Lineage: Bacteria; Pseudomonadati; Pseudomonadota; Gammaproteobacteria; Enterobacterales; Enterobacteriaceae.